This 209-nucleotide long non-coding RNA is filed under the name Linum usitatissimum (flax). Its description in RNAcentral is "long non-coding RNA (LUSI_LNC000225)". Lineage: Eukaryota; Viridiplantae; Streptophyta; Magnoliopsida; Malpighiales; Linaceae. The record is from RNAcentral.
AAUAUGUAUGCAUUCGUUUGAGGAUUAAAGAAGUUUCUGUUGAAAAUCUCCUUAUGUCACAAUUGAUAUCUGAUCCGUCUUCCCGGUUCAGAAGCCUUGGCUACUGUUGUUGAAUGUACCAGUUAUCCUCGUAUUGCCAGGUUGAACCAAAUGGCUCCGAUGCAGAUGUAGCUCAGCCCUCCGAAUGGGUUGGACCUGUAUUGCUGUAU